GGCUGACUGCAGCCAUCUUGCCAAGGCCAUUGCUGUAAAAUUUGCUAGUCUGCUAUUGGGGGGUCCUUCUUCAGGUGACUCUGGAAAGCAGCCUGGCUUUUUAAAUGGCUUGAUAUUGUGAGAAAUAUGGGGUAGGAGUGGGAUUAACAGGCAGAAGAAGUAUCCAGGAGCAACUCCUUCAGUCUUAAGUGGGCAGCCCCAUUGUUGCACACCUGCAGGCCAUAAGCUCAUUAGGCUGGAAACCCAGCUUCUGGUGAGGGAAAAUGGAAGCCUCUCACAGAUGUUUCCGGAACUUCUCUGAGGCAGCAGUUCUGUCAGGGUGACCUCAGGAAAUAAUCUUUCAUGCUCCUGGAAGAAACCCUUUGAGUGUGUCCUGAGGAACAAGCCUCAUGAUAGCUUGCAUGGAUAUACGUGGAACCUGUUUAAUGAUGAUGAAGACUGCUAAGAAGACUGCUUGUACUCUGUUGUACACCUCCUUGAGGUUCAUAAGGAUAUCUGUAUCAUGGUUCAGAAACCAGCAUAUAUGAUAUCAGCUUCUGUGCAACAAUAUUCACCAUAGAGAGAGCGAGAGCAUUGCACAUCAUCUCCGUAAGACUCGGCACAACUCUGUAAGACCGCAUGUUUUGGCCUAAUGAAUUCCGAGCAAAUCUGAUAACUUUAUUUCUCGAGUGAGUGCAACAGCCUAUAAUGAAGCACUCUGCUGCCUCUUCUCCCAAGCCUUUGUCUUGUGGAUCUGCUCUUCUUCUUCACAUGAAACAAGGCCCUGAGCUCUUGAUUAGUCAAUUUGGCUUCAAGGGCUUGUCUUCUUUCCAGGUUAAGAAGGAAAUUAUUCUACGGCUGCACUUUUGAUGCCCUGCUCUGCAGAAAUAACGAUUUCUGUCCUGCCUCGUAAUCACCUCCAUCAUCAAGGGAAGCUCUAUUAACACUGUGAAAAGAGAAGCGAGAGCCUGCUUUUGACUCUUUAAAAAUAUUAUCAUCAUCAGGCUUAAAUGUGUUAAUAAAUGUCAGCUCAGUGGUUCAAGCACUCUUAAAAAAAAAAAAAAAGCCUGUUAGACCUCCAACCAGAGACCUUAAAGGAGAGGCAGAGGGAAAAGAAAGAAGAGACACAGAGGUUUACAAGAGAAAGAAGAAAGCAAUCCCAGGCAGCAUGAAACAAAAGGGAAGAUAGAGGCUCUUUGGUUCGCUCCCACCAAAUUUGCUUCUACCCAGUUCAAGAGCACCAUCUCUGUACAGGUCAGCAAUUCAUUAAAAUGCAAUCAAGGGGUGUCGUUUCUGGGAGUCUGGAUGUACCCCUUGGGGAAGAAAGGACGGCUCUCAGCUAGGAAGGGCCCUCAUUAAGGGGGACCAUCAAAAGGCCAUUGAUGUCCACAGGAGCAUUUCCAUAGACUUCAAUGGGACGGAGAAACGGUCCAGAUCACACACGGCUUGCCAAAGCGGCCUGCGUUUGAAAGGCCCGUUCUGUGAAGUGCAACUGCUUCAUUUGGAGACCAGAGGACUCAGACUGACUGAUGAAAUCCCUUUCAGUCCCUUCCAGGCCUGAUUCUGCCGACUGGCUUGCAUCAGAAGUUUCCUCUGGGGAUGGAAGUUGGAUUUCAGACUUGCAGCAUCAAGACUGAAGACACCGAGAAAGCACCGCAGAGGUCAAGGGGUCCUCUUGUCUGCCCCCGCCACGCAGUUUGGGUAGGACUUUUUUAUUUGUUUGCUUUUUUAAUUCGUUGUUAGAUUUAUAUGCUGCCUUUCAUAAAAUAUCUCAAGGCGGUUUCCAAUAGAGAUAUUAAAGCAAUAUGA
This is a long non-coding RNA of Hemicordylus capensis (graceful crag lizard), 1788 nucleotides long. RefSeq lists it as uncharacterized. The record is from RefSeq and is a predicted model, not a curated record. Lineage: Eukaryota; Metazoa; Chordata; Lepidosauria; Squamata; Cordylidae. The transcript has 4 exons.